RNAcentral lists this long non-coding RNA (1490 nucleotides) under Equus asinus (donkey). RNAcentral describes it as "lncRNA (ENSEASG00005030369.1)". Lineage: Eukaryota; Metazoa; Chordata; Mammalia; Perissodactyla; Equidae. The record is from RNAcentral.
AAUCUAAAACCAGAGUGCCUCUGGUGCUGGUGGGAGGAGAAUAUCCCAAGGAGCCGGAGCCCUUCCUGAGAUGAAGAGCCAGGCGCCCCUUGGGGACCCCGAGAAAGAGCAACAAGUAGUCCCCUCCGCCGCAGAGCUAUCAGGAGAGUCUGUAUCUGAAGAAGGAAGACAGCUGGGGUUCCAGGAGAAAACUACAGAAGCCAGUCCACACAGUGUGGACUUUGGGGGCUCAGCUGCCAGUUGGUCUGAGCCCUGGAAUGGACUUGCUGUGUGGCCUUGGGAAAACCAUGUAGCCUCUCUGUUCUGUUUCUUUGUUUGUGCUAAAUCAUUGCUGAGGCUUCCUCCUGCACCAGUUUUCCAUUGCCGCUGUGAGUGGACAUGAGUCUUGACCAAAUCAUAAGUGUCUAGUUAAUGGGAUAAAAAUGAGUUAGAAUCUGGGAUUCUGGUCCUUAACCCCAUGUCACCAUCUGCUGGAGCAGUGUGAUGACAGGGCCAGGUGAAUCGGAGUCACCCAACACUUGUUACACACGCAGAUUCCUGCUCUGCUCCCCCUCCCACUACCCAUGCCCCACUGAGUCCAAACCUCGAGGGCGGGGCCUAGAAGGCCCCAUUCCUUUAUGGGUUCAUGGAGGGCAGAACAGCGACCCCACCCGGAGCCAGCCAUGCAUCAGUAGCUCUUCCUAUGAAUCAGGCAUGCCAAGGUGGUUUCUGGAAUCUUGUGCUUGUAUUUCCCUCUGCCUGGAAAGAUUUCCCAUAUGGCUGGUUUCUUCUCAUGUGUCACCUGUUCAGAGAGGCCUUGGCUGGCCUCCCCGUCUCUACUCACUAUCCCAUCACGUGUUUCCUUUUCUUCUCAACACUGUCAUUUUCUGAAGUUCAUCUCAUCUCCUUGUAAAUUAUCUGUUGCUCCUACUGGAACAUAGACCUCCCAUCCCCCCCCCCCCCCCCCCGACUCCCACCCCCAGGGGCAGAAACCCUGCCUGGCUUAUUGGAGGCUAUACCCCAGCACGAGGCCCAUGGGAGGUGCUCAGUAAUAUAAGAAUUCAUGAAUAAAUGGACACUGGAGGAAUCCUCUUAUCUCUGAUGCUGAAGAUGCUUCUCUGAGAUGCAAGAAUGGACACCCUCUCCCUACCCUGGGGGACCUAGGCCUGCCCUGGGCGCGGUUUCUGAGGAAGACGAGGGGCACCUCCUGCCUCCCCACCCUGCCCAUUGCUUCCCCAGCACCCAGAGAAGACCUCAGUGGAGCCAGAGCCGCGCAUCCAGCAGAGAGUCUCAGCUGGGGUUAUAGGACAGGAAAACCUUGACUUCAGGGGCCAUGGACUAAGUUCUCCUUACUUCAUCGUCUCCAAAACCACGGGUGCCAGUGAAGCUGAGGUUAGAUGUGAACUGAGUGCUGCUUACCCACCAGAUCUUCCCUGCCGCCUGACUUUGACUGGACGGCUGACCUUGACACUUCCCAUACAAGCUUCUCUCUACUUUGCUAACCUGAUAGA